Pelobates cultripes (western spadefoot toad) is the source of this 257-nucleotide non-coding RNA. Lineage: Eukaryota; Metazoa; Chordata; Amphibia; Anura; Pelobatidae. The record is from the annotation of a GenBank genome assembly.
AUGAAAUUCUGCCACUGCUCAGCCUGCAGAAACAAUAUCUUACCCCCAAAAACACUACAUUAAGCUAGUGGUUCUGGUGCCUAGAGUUUCCCUUUAAUAGCGUUAAUGAAUAGGACUAUUGUUGUGACCAUUUGCAUGUAUAAAGCUGUAAGACAAGCUCCUUCUUAAAAAACUGGCAAAUUACAUGCAUGUGCCUGCUGCAACUUUCACAACCAGAGGGCUUGUUGUCUGGGGCCUCUACUGGCCUCUAGUGUUAU